CUGCCCAGCCCCUCCCCCUGCAGUCUACUGCUUGAUACCUCACCUGUCUAUGUGAAAACUGAGCCCACCCCCACAGGCUAGUGAGGUCCCCCCCAUGGAAGGACUGAAAGACAACAUCACUCACUCCUCUUUGGCUUCCUGAAGCUGAGGGGAUGCGAUUGGUGUCUGGACAAACUUCACUUCCCCUUGGAUGGUAGCUGUCUUGAGCCCUGCCUGGUUAAUAUCCAGAAUGUGGAAGGCAGGAGACUAGAGACAUACAGUGUUUGAUGGAGUGGAGUCAGAAAUUGAGAAAGGUCAAAGGUCACACAGGAUGCUGAACCAAUCUGUCCAGGGGCAACUAACUGAUGGCCACCAAAGACUUGACAAAAACGGUCAAUCUGCAGAUGAGAAGUUGAUUCCAGAAGAGCAAAGGUGGCUUGAGAAACAGGAGGACAGGAGGGUACUUCAAAGAGAAGGUAAUCACUUUCAGUGAUUUGAGGACAAUGCUAAAAUGUGUCACAUCAAAAACCAAACCAAACCAAGGGAAACAAACAGAGAAAACCAAGAUGCUAUAAAUAAUUACAGAAGGUCGCUUUUUGGCAAAGAAAGAAAGAGUAUUCUUUCUAGAAAAUAAGAAAGAGCAAUUUCAGAAAACAGACCCCAAGUAUCAGCUAUAGUGCUAUUCUAGAAUACAUUGGCAUGUGUCUGCACAGGCAUGUGGAGGCUAGAGGACACCCUUGCAUGUCCUUCUGCAGGAGCCUUCCACAGUGUCCUUUGAGGCAGGGUCUCUCACUGGUUAAUCAGGCCAGCCAGGGGUCUCGGGGACCCUCCUGUCUGCCCUCUUAGCACUGAGAUGCUAGGCGCCGCUGCCAUACCAUACACGAAUUCUGGGGGUUGAGCUCUGGUUCGCAUGCUUGUGAGAUACUGACAACCAUCCUCUCAACCCAGUAGAUGUGACUGUGUAAUCUAGAAGGGAGAUCUAGAAAGAAAAAAAGUAAAACAUUCCACUGAGAAGAAGGUUCUCAGGGCCUUGGAAAGGCUCCUGGAGCGCUGGAGAGAUGCUGCUGGUGUGGACACAGUUCACACCAGGAACAGCUGAGUCACAAACACGUGUUUUCAUUUUUGCACACGCGUGUGUGUGCAUGUGAGUGCUGGGCGUCUGGAAGCUGGAGGUUGACUCUGGGAGUCAUCCUUGCCUCUAACUUCCUCCUCCUUCCCAGAGGCAAGGUCUCUCUGUGAAAUCCAGAGCUCCCAGACAGGAUUCUUCCUUGCUCUGGGGCUCUGUCUCCACAUUCAGAGACUGGGGUUACAAGCCCGCCCGUCUCACCCAGUUGGCCUUUCUGUGGGUUCUGCGAUCAGAACUCUGGUCCUCACACUUACACGGAAAGUGUUUUUAACUUGCCACCUGCCUGACCCACAAAUACUUCUUUAAAAAAAAACAGUUAAGAGUACAUUGUUGCUGUCUUCAG
This is a long non-coding RNA of Mus musculus (house mouse), 1448 nucleotides long. RefSeq annotates it as predicted gene, 51920. The record is from RefSeq and is a predicted model, not a curated record. The transcript is spliced from 3 exons. Lineage: Eukaryota; Metazoa; Chordata; Mammalia; Rodentia; Muridae.